CGACAACAGCUUAUUGUUAUUGUACAAUAUUACAUGAGAGCCGAUUAGAGAAUCUAGUAUAUUUCAUCGCUAAAAGUAAGGUUAUGAUGAGAAGGAACAUAACCUCACUUUCCCUUGGUUGCCUGCUUCGUUGCCUUCGUUUGGAUUCCCACUGUGGUUUCGACGCGGUUUGUCUGCCACGUUCUCACGUUGCGAUGAUAUGAUGCGUCUGCGUCGAUUCCGAGUGUUUAGGAGGACGCAUGUACGUUUUGCACAUAAAAUUAACCACCAUCAUCGUGCAAUAUCAAAACAAACCUUCGUUUUCAAUUUUGCAGGAUGAAAAUUUCCUUCUGCUUGCGAUAGGUUAGGAACUAAACAAAGCCAGCAUAUUUUUUGCAAACGACACAUGACUCGAGUCGUCCAAGGUGCAGAAAUCAAUGCAGCUGCACUUAUCGAUCACACGGACUUGCAAAAUUACAGGAAAUAUGACUUCUCUGGUCGCUAAUUGUUUCCCCCAUAAACAAUAUAUUCCGUUGCAAUGCAUGCUGCCCAAUCAACGUGAAAGCUUCUUCAUUCCGCGUGAUUCAAACAUCACAUAGGUGGCAGGAUAAAUAAUCAUGGACGCUCUAUUUAUUGCAGUAGUCUAGCCAUUUUUUGAAAUUAUCCGCGAGCAUUUCGUGAUAUCGUGUUCACUUGCAAAACGAGAUUUAAUAUCCACAUAGUCAAACAACUAGUAAUAAGACGGUUUAAUCGAUUUUACUCGCAAAUUAUGUUAUAUGUUUGCCAGAACUUGUAUUUUUAGGAAUAUGCAGGAAAACUGAUACGGCAGUUC
Molecule: long non-coding RNA, 811 nt
Organism: Belonocnema kinseyi
Lineage: Eukaryota; Metazoa; Arthropoda; Insecta; Hymenoptera; Cynipidae
Exons: 2
Source: RefSeq, a predicted model, not a curated record